RNAcentral lists this ribosomal RNA (492 nucleotides) under uncultured bacterium. RNAcentral's name for it is "partial 16S ribosomal RNA". It matches the Rfam family "Bacterial small subunit ribosomal RNA", at positions 29 to 507 of the family's 1533-position model. The record is from RNAcentral.
AGUGAACGCUGGCGGUAGGCCUAACACAUGCAAGUCGAACGGCAGCACAGUAAGAGCUUGCUCGUACGGGUGGCGAGUGGCGGACGGGUGAGGAAUACAUCGGAAUCUACUUUUUCGUGGGGGAUAACGAAGGGAAACUUACGCUAAUACCGCAUACGACCUACGGGUGAAAGCAGGGGAUCUUCGGACCUUGCGCGAUUGAAUGAGCCGAUGUCGGAUUAGCUAGUGGGCGGGGUAAAGGCCCACCAAGGCGACGAUCCGUAGCUGGUCUGAGAGGAUGAUCAGCCACACUGCAAGUGAGACACGGUCCAGACUGCUACGGGAGGCAGCAGUGGGGAAUAUUGGACAAUGGGCGCAAGCCUGAUCCAGCCAUACCGCGUGGGUGAAGAAGGCCUUCGGGUUGUAAAGCCCUUUUGUUGGGAAAGAAAAGCAGCAGGUUAAUACCCCGCUGUUCUGACGGUACCCAAAGAAUAAGCACCGGCUAACUUCGUG